This is a small nuclear RNA of Loxodonta africana (African savanna elephant), 104 nucleotides long. The record is from Rfam. NCBI's taxonomy places the organism in Eukaryota, Metazoa, Chordata, Mammalia, Proboscidea, Elephantidae.
UCGUUAAGGGCAGCACAUACACUAAAAUUGGAACGAUACAGAGAAGAUUAGCAUACCCCCUGCACAAGGAUGACACACGAAUUUGUGAAGCGUUCCAUAUUUUU